AGCGCUGGUCACCUCUGGAACCUGAUUGGUCACCUCAGGCGCCACCCCAGUUGAUUGGCAGGUCACUGUACCUCUCGUUGAAAGAAGCGCAUUAGGGAAAGACAAACGAGGGAGGUAGAAUAAUGGUGUUUCAAAACACGAAUGGACCCAGAGGACCUACUUUAAAUACAUCAUUCAGAAGUGGCCCAGAUGUGGUGGAGGCGUGGUCUGAGAAUCUCGUCUUGAGAAGAGUCCUCGGCACUGUCUGCUACAUUCCAAUCACCUGCUCAUCGAUCCAAGGAACAUUUGUAGUGAAUUUGACACAGACCUCCAUCAGGCAGCCGAGAACCACAACAUCACAGUGGAAUGGGCGUUCACAACCACAGCUGACACUUCCCCCGACUCCCUUUUUAUCUUCUGUGAGCUGAUAACUGAUCACAAAGUCUCAGUCCUGUUUCAUUUACAUGGAGCUGUUGAGGUCCCAGAGACUCACGAUCAACAUUUUGUAGGACCAGUCCAGUGGGACAAAGAUGUCGUCAGAGACGGACAGCUCAGACUUCAUGUAUCCAGACUCAGGACUGAGGACUCGGGCCGGCAUCGCUGUAAAGUGUGGAAGAAUCUUUUUUUUUUAUUCACUGUCUUUCUGAAACAACAUUUAUGCUCAGACUCCAGUGAAGGAUCUGAGGAAAUGUAAGUCUCUGCAGGCUCAGGAAACAGUUUGAUCGACAAAACUUAAGGAAACAGUUUUAUACGAUGGACAGAUCUGAACAGAGCAGCAGGCUUUGAGACAAUCAGGGAACCAAGGAGGAGAAGGGACUCAAGCUCUGUUUUAACAGUCCAUAAAGGAAAUGGACAAAUGGGACUCGGGCUGAUAAAACAACGUUAAAUCACGCACUAUUGUGCAAUUUGCAAUAGAAGAAUGGGCCCAAAUCCCUCAGGAGUCCUGUGCCAACCUUGUAAAGAACUAUUCUAAGAGGUUGUUGUCAGUUGUGGCUCAGAGAGGGUACACUGUUGACUACUAAUGGCCAGCAGGGUAAUAAUAUUGGAUGUGUCAUUUUUGCCCUUUUUUUGUUUCACAUCAGUGUAUCAAUAAAAUAUUACAAUCAAACUUAGUGGACAUUUUGUCUUCGUUGUUUUGGAAACACA
RNAcentral lists this long non-coding RNA (1125 nucleotides) under Sparus aurata (gilthead seabream). RNAcentral describes it as "lncRNA (ENSSAUG00010022928.1)". The record is from RNAcentral. Lineage: Eukaryota; Metazoa; Chordata; Actinopteri; Spariformes; Sparidae.